RNAcentral lists this ribosomal RNA (496 nucleotides) under uncultured Gammaproteobacteria bacterium. RNAcentral's name for it is "bacterial SSU rRNA". It matches the Rfam family "Bacterial small subunit ribosomal RNA", at positions 38 to 524 of the family's 1533-position model. The record is from RNAcentral. Lineage: Bacteria; Pseudomonadati; Pseudomonadota; Gammaproteobacteria.
GGGCGGCAGCCUACCAUGCAGUCGAACGGCAGCAUGAACUGGGGUAACCUAGUUUGAUGGCGAGUGGCGGACGGGUGAGUAAUAUGUAGGAAUCUGCCCAGAGGUAGGGGAUAACUUGGGGAAACUCAAGCUAAUACCAUAUAAGCCCUAAGGGGGAAAGCAGGGGAUCGCAAGACCUUGCGCCUUUGGAUGAGCCUACAUCGGAUUAGCUAGUUGGUAGGGUAAAGGCCUACCAAGGCGACGAUCCGUAGCUGGUCUGAGAGGAUGACCAGCCACACUGGGACUGAGACACGGCCCAGACUCCUACGGGAGGCAGCAGUGGGGAAUAUUGGACAAUGGGGGAAACCCUGAUCCAGCAAUGCCGCGUGUGUGAAGAAGGCCUUCGGGUUGUAAAGCACUUUCAGUGGGGAGGAAGGGGAUGUUGUUAAUACCAACAUUCAUUGACGUUACCCACAGAAGAAGCACCGGCUAACUCUGUGCCAGCAGCCGCGGUAAC